Molecule: non-coding RNA, 74 nt
Organism: Dallia pectoralis (Alaska blackfish)
Lineage: Eukaryota; Metazoa; Chordata; Actinopteri; Esociformes; Umbridae
Source: the annotation of a GenBank genome assembly
GGUGCUGUGGCUUAUUCGGCAAUAGCGCCUGUCUUGUAAACAGGAGAUCCUGAGUUCGAAUCUCAGCAGUGCCU